Molecule: unclassified non-coding RNA, 1792 nt
Filed under: Daphnia magna
Lineage: Eukaryota; Metazoa; Arthropoda; Branchiopoda; Diplostraca; Daphniidae
Description: aldo-keto reductase family 1 member B1, transcript variant X3
Source: RNAcentral
ACUUAAUAAAAUCAACGUAGUCUGCUCGAUUUAAUUUCGCGCCAUUCAAACGUAUGUAAGACACUUCUGCAGGGUAUUCAACGCAGAAAAAACGUUUACGAAGAUAUUUUCAUCUAUAUCGAGCAGCGAUUCGUCGCGGAAUCAAGCUUAAUUUGUUUGUGUCCUUGCCAUCAAGGAAAUAAAGAAGUUGUCAAAAAAUGGCAAGCUCAGGUGCAGCAAAAGUUCCAAAAAUUAAAUUAAACAGUGGUUAUGAGAUGCCAAUGAUUGGUCUUGGAACAUGGAAAUUGUGGAACACUUUCCAUAAACCAGAAAAAGUUGAACCAGCUCUCAAAAAAUCAUUGAGCCUUUUGGGAUUAGAUUAUGUAGAUCUUUAUCUCUUCCACUGGCCUAUCUCAUUUAUUGAUAAAGAUAGUGAACUCUUUCCAAAAGAUGAGGAUGGUAAGCACCUGUUCGAGGUAAUCGACCAUAUCGAUACCUGGCGGGAGAUGGAAAAAUGUGUCGAGCUUGGACUAGUCCGCUCGAUUGGUUUGUCAAACUUCAACAGUCGACAAAUUCAACAUAUUAUGGAUAAUUCGAAAAUCAAACCAGUAGUCAAUCAGGUGGAGUGUCAUCCUUAUUUGAAUCAGAAACGGUUGAUCGAGUUCUGCAAACAAAAAGACAUUGUGGUGACCGCCUACAGUCCGCUUGGCUCGCCUGAUCGUCCAUGGGCUAAACCAGAUGAUCCGAACCUAUUGGAAGAACCAAGAAUCAAAUCAGUCGCCCAGCUCUAUAGAAAGACAUCUGCGCAGAUUUUAAUUCGCUAUCAAAUUGAUCGUGGGGUUGCCGUCAUCCCGAAAUCAGUCAACAAAUCUCGCAUAGAAGAAAACUUUACUAUUUUUGAUUUCAGCCUUCAAGCAAAAGAAAUGGAGAACCUAUCCUGGCUAGAUGAAGAAGAUAACCGUUGCCAUGAAUAUAGAAAACCUCUAAAUGUUUCAGAAACGUUGCUUCUUGUUAAGUAUAAAGGUUUUGAAAUUUUCUUUUUUAUUGUUUAAUCAUGAAAUAUUUUGUACGUUAUCGUAAGGAAAACAAGUCCGUUUAUCUACAAAGAAUAGAAAAAUUACGGAAAAUCAACGCGAAAAUCAUCGCCUGUAAAAUCAAAAAAAAAGAAAAAGAGGAGUUAUCACUCCUUUGGGCCUUGUACCAUCAGAGCUGACAAAUUUAUUUCUAAACGUUGACAUUGAAUUGUGAUCACAAUUCUUAUGGAAACUGUUGGGCUGCGCUUGGCUGGUAGCGCUUUUACCGUUUCCCACUAAUUGGAUAAAGCAACAAGAAAACGUAGUCCACUCGAAUGAACUUGUUCCAGACGUUUGCAUCUCGAGACAUGCAUAGAAUUUUGUUUAUUGUACAGCAGGAAGCGACUGGAAUAGGAAGUAUUAUUUACAAUUUCUAGCGCUACUACCUCAAGUUAUUUAUAUUUACUGACGAUGGCCAGUUCAGGAGCAGCAAAGGUCCCAAAAGUCAAGUUAAACAAUGGCUACACUAUACCCAUGAUUGGCCUUGGAACAUGGAGGUUGAGUGGCAUUUUCAAAUUUAGAAAACAGUCGGCAGAUUCAACAUGUCCUGGAAAAUUCUAAAAUCAAACCCGUAGUCAAUCAGGUGGAAUGUCAUCCCUACUUCAAUCAGAAAAAGUUGAUCGAGUUUUGCAGGAAAAAAGACAUAGUAAUCACCGCCUACAGCCCACUUGGUUCUCCUGCACGUCCUUGGGCUAAAGCAGAAGAUCCACAUUUAAUGGAAGAAUCGAAAAUCAAAUCCG